UAGCCUGCCCAGUGAAAUUUUAACGGCCACGGUACCCUAACCGUGCGAAGGUAGCAUAAUCACUUGUUCUUUAAAUGGGGACUCGUAUCAACGGCAUCACGAGGGUUCUACUGUCUCCUCUCUCUAAUCAGUGAAACUAAUCUCCCCGUGAAGAAGCGAGGAUAAUACUAUAAGACGAGAAGACCCCAUGGAGCUUUAAACCCAAUUAUAUUCCUAACCCCCACAACCAUUUAAUCUCUUAGGCCCCAUAUACUUGGUUUUAGGUUGGGGCGACCACGGAGUAAAACCAAACCUCCAUGAUGUACGGAACAACCUCCUUAUCCAAGAGCCACAGCUCUAAGAAUUAGCACACUAUCAAAAAAUGACCCAUUAUUGAUCAACGAACCAAGUUACCCUGGGGAUAACAGCGCAAUCCAUUUUAAGAGCCCCUAUCGACAAAUGGGUUUACGACCUCGAUGUUGGAUCAGGAUAUCCCAGUGGUGCAGCAACUACUAAAGGUUCGUUUGUUCAACGAUCAAAAUCCU
Molecule: ribosomal RNA, 524 nt
Filed under: Mantidactylus femoralis
Lineage: Eukaryota; Metazoa; Chordata; Amphibia; Anura; Mantellidae
Description: partial 16S ribosomal RNA
Rfam family: Bacterial large subunit ribosomal RNA
Source: RNAcentral